GUCAAAUCAGCACGGCCCUUACGUCCGGGGCGACACACGUGUUACAAUGGGGGGUACAACGGGCUGCGACCCGGCGACGGGAAGCCAAUCUCUAAAAACCCCUCUCAGUUCGGAUCGGAGCCUGCAACCCGGCUCCGUGAAGCUGGAUUCGCUAGUAAUCGCGCAUCAGCCACGGCGCGGUGAAUACGUUCCCGGGCCUU
Molecule: ribosomal RNA, 200 nt
Filed under: uncultured prokaryote
Description: partial 16S ribosomal RNA
Rfam family: Bacterial small subunit ribosomal RNA
Source: RNAcentral